RNAcentral lists this ribosomal RNA (367 nucleotides) under uncultured bacterium. RNAcentral's name for it is "bacterial SSU rRNA". It matches the Rfam family "Bacterial small subunit ribosomal RNA", at positions 527 to 896 of the family's 1533-position model. The record is from RNAcentral.
GUAGGUGGCAAGCGUUGUCCGGAUUUAUUGGGUUUAAAGGGUGCGUAGGCGGCCCUGUAAGUCAGUGCUGAAAUAUCCCGGCUUAACCGGGAGGGUGGCAUUGAUACUGCGGGGCUAGAGUACAGAUGAGGUAGGCGGAAUUGACGGUGUAGCGGUGAAAUGCUUAGAUAUCGUCAAGAACACCUAUAGCGAAGGCAGCUUACUAGGCUGUAACUGACGCUGAGGCACGAAAGUGUGGGGAUCAAACAGGAUUAGAUACCCUGGUAGUCCACACUGUAAACGUUGAUUACUCGCUGUGUGCGAUAUACAGUACGCGGCCAAGCGAAAGCGCUAAGUAAUCCACCUGGGGAGUACGCCGGCAACGGUG